RNAcentral lists this ribosomal RNA (380 nucleotides) under Cellana talcosa. RNAcentral's name for it is "partial 12S ribosomal RNA". It matches the Rfam family "Bacterial small subunit ribosomal RNA", at positions 874 to 1384 of the family's 1533-position model. Lineage: Eukaryota; Metazoa; Mollusca; Gastropoda; Nacellidae. The record is from RNAcentral.
UAAAAGAAAUAAAUAUUAAUUCAUUUUUGCUUGGGCACUACGAACACAUGUUUAAAACCCAAAGAACUUGGCGGUACUUUAACCCACUUAGGGGAACCUGUCCUUUAAUUCGAUAAUCCACGACAAUCUUAUUUAUUUUAGAACACUUCAGCUUGUAUACCGUCGUCAUAAGUUAACCUUAAAAAGAAAAAAAGUUAACAACAAAGAUAAAAUUUAAUAAUUUUCUCCUAGGUCAGAUCAAGGUGCAGCUAAUAAAUAAAGAGGAGAUGGGUUACAAUUGAUAAAUUUCAAAUGGAAUUUUUAAGGAAAAUAAAAACGAAAUAGGACUUAAAAGUAAUUUUAUGAUAACAAACAUUAAUGAAUAAGGAAAUAAAGUGUGC